CGGCUGAGCUUCCAGGCUUAAAACUGAUUAAUUAACCACAAGAUAAAAUGAGCCCCUAAUAGAUAUCUUUACAGCUGG
Maniola jurtina (meadow brown) is the source of this 78-nucleotide long non-coding RNA. RefSeq lists it as uncharacterized. Lineage: Eukaryota; Metazoa; Arthropoda; Insecta; Lepidoptera; Nymphalidae. The record is from RefSeq and is a predicted model, not a curated record. The transcript is spliced from 3 exons.